AUGUCAGACUUUACAGCAGAAAUAAACAUGUUUACAGCCUGGUACAAAAAACUGUUCUUUGAUUUUUCAAGGCUGAUUUUCCCUUUUAUGACAACUGUACAGGGGGUGAAUUUUUAUGUGACUCCCCCAUUUACAUUUGAGUAUUAAGUGACAGACUGUCUGCAGAUAGUGUCCUCAGCUUCUCAGUCAGAUCCGCCCCUCGCUCCUCCACAGCUCCAGCCUCUCUCCAGCCCGAAUAUGGUCACUUCUGGCUCCAAAAAAUUGAGGUGGCGAGGGCCGAAAUGCCAAAUGUAAGGCUUCAAAACGCCACAAACUAAUAGGUGAUGUCAUGGUAGCUACAGCAGUGUUUAAUCAUAGAUAUAAUGUGUUAAUUGCAAGCUUUAGAUGAAGCUCUGUAGCCAUUUUCCUGUUUCCAGUCUAACCAGCUGCUUACUUCAACUUUGUACUUUCAGUACAGACAUAACACUGUGCAAUACAACUCUUACAACAUUAUUCCUUUAUUUGUUUUUUUAAAUUUAAAAAUAUAUUGUUAAAUUUAAAAAAAAAGUUAUAUGCAGCGAUGUUACAUGAUUUUCUUGUGCACUACAGAAAUGCAUGUCACAUAUUGUGUUUCUAACUUUUUUGUGAUCAACAUGUUGACUUUUUUGACACAUUUACAGGCCCCGAAAACCCUUUUUCUUCAUCCAUCAGCUUAUUAUUCUGAUUGAUGGAGUUCUACAACAUUUCCUUGUAAAGGUCUGCUUAUUCUAAGACACAAAUUUUCUGUAUUUAUGUUUUGGUCUGUGCAUUUUUCAUGUUUGAACUGGGCAGGACUUGAUUGGAAAAGGUCAUGCAUUUGGUAUACAUAUGUACAGAAGCAUGAGGUAUCCACUUGGAAAAAAGCUGCUCUUUAUUUGCAAAUUAACCUCAGAAUUUUGAGGAAAGUUCAUGGAAAAAAAUUCUGCUCAAAUGUUAUUUUUUUCUUGUGAAUGCAUUACGCUUCCUUACUUACGCAGCAAUUAUGAUUUAUCGACAUUCAGAUCAAAAAGCGAUUACAGUCUGAACUUGAUUAAAUUUUUUAAAGUAUGUUUUAUGUUGCAGAGAAAGAUACAGGUCCAAGAUUUGAAACCACGAGGCUUCAAUUUUAAAGGAAAGAAAAAUGAUUGAUCCUCCUCUUGAAGAUGUCAAUAGCGCUGGCUAUCUGUCCUGCUUUGUACUGACACACAAUAAUGGAACAUCACUGCCUGCAAUACACCUUAAAGACAGACCUGAGAGAAACAUUUUAAAAUAUCCCUGAUCGAGUUAAAGCAGAUCAUUUUCAUGUAACACUUUUGUAAUGAUAAUACCCAGAGCUUAAGUAAUAAAGGAAGGAGCGAAAUCUGCCUCUUGUCAGCGUUUACGAUGAGAAGCACUUGCAUGAUUAGAUGUCUUGCGAUCGAUGCAGCUUCUUCUCCCAAUCAUUAAGACUGCUCUUAACAGAUUACAGCCCCCUCCCAAACACGCAGCCUUUUCUCCUCCUCUUCCUGCUCCUCCUCCUGUCUCACUUACUCUCUCUUUCGGCAGAUAGAACAGGGGGCUUGCCUCUUUGGCACUUCUUUAGCUUCCCCUUUGUAUUUUGUCCUUUUCAGGGAUUCUUCCCAAAAGCAACAGCUCACGUCUUCAGGUUCAGGUAGAGUUUCUCUGGUUUCACCUGAGCUCCACUGACGACCAGAUGAACAGACAGCGGAAUGAAAAAGACUAAACUGAAAUACAAGAGGUGGUGGUGAACAGCUGACAAAAAUGGACCUGCUGACAAUCUUCUGUCACUUCCUGCUUUUAUGUUUUGAUCCAUCUGCGGCCACAAGUCUCAUCACAGCGGAUAUAUUCGAAGCCAGAGGUCAACGUGUGUGCAAGGCAGGAAAAGGGAAGCCGUGCUACAAGCUGGCCUAUUUCUCCGAGCUCCGGCGUAGGCUGAACUUCGUAGAUGCAGAGUUCGCCUGCAGACGGGACGGGGGGCAGCUGCUGAGCGUGGAGUCGGAGUCUGAGCAGAAGAUCAUAGAGCAGCUCAUCACAGAGCUCCGCCCAACUGAUGGAGACUUCUGGAUCGGUCUCCGCCGUAACCAUGGAGACGAGAACAGCAGCUCAGACUGCUCCUCACAGUACUACUGGCUGGAUGGCAGCAAAUCACCAUUUAGGAACUGGCAUUGGGAUGAGCCAUCAUGUGGCUAUGAGGUGUGUGUGGUAAUGUAUCACCAACCGUCCGCUCCUCCCGGUCUGGGUGGGCUCUAUAUGUUCCAGUGGAAUGACGACAAUUGUGAAACCAAGAACAACUUCAUCUGUAAAUACACUGCAGAGAAGCCACAGGACCCGUCCCCGUCUCCCAACUCCACUCUAACAAAUGUCUUCCCUUCAUCCGUGCUGCCGUGGAAUCCAAAUGACCGCGACCAGGGCAGCAAUACAGCUCUGAAUCUGAUUUACAUCAUCAUUCCCACCAUCCCCCUGAUUCUGCUGUUACUGACAGCGAUCGGAGUCUGCUGCUUCAAACUGCUGGCCACACGGAGGAGGAAACAACAGAAAUCAGAAGUAUGCCAGACGGACCCAAGCUUCUGCCCCAGCCCGGCUCCAACUGACGUCUACAACGUCAUUCGCUCCCAGAAGGAGGAUGACCUGGUUUCAACUCGCCCGCACACCAAAAACACCUCCUUUUUAUGCUCCUCCCCCGACACACCCACAGGUGACUACGACAACCUGGGGGGGCGGGACACAGAGAGCGGCUUUGUGACGCUUGCCAGCACAGAGAGCUGCUUCCUCAACUUUGACCUCAAUGACCUCAGCCUUGGGCGUCGCACCAACCGUGACUUCUACAACACCAGCUUGGGCCGCUCAGCAAAGAGGGAGUUGAGGGACUUGAAUGACAGCAGUCUGGGCUCCACCGGGCACAGAGAGUAUUAUGACAGGAGUCUAGGUCGUCGUACGACAAAGAGCGAGCAUUACGGCAGCAGCGUGUACGGGGACCAUGGGUUGUAUGAUGGCAGCAUCAGAGGAGGGAGCGACCUCUAUGAUCCCAAACUGAAGCCUGGAAGUCACACAGUGAAGGCUGACCUCUAUCAGACAUACAUCACCAACGGCAAGGACGACACUUACCAGACCAGCCUAGGAACCUUUGGAAACCGAAAAUCCUACCAAGCAAACCUGGACAGCUACAGAAACGGCCUGAAUCUUGAUGCCGGAAGGAGAUACUACAAUGAACAAGAAUGGAUCAACAGAGAAAACUACUGAUCCUCUGAACAGCUACCUUAGUGUGUGUAUAGCAGUGUGUGUGAUUGUGUACAGGACCAAGAGGAUGAAAAAAAAACUGUGCACGUACAUGGUUGUAAAUGUUUGUAUAGUAUGUGUCUGAAGCCUUUUAGGGGAUUUAAAUGAGAUGAGGACAUGCUCAGAUGAGAUUUUGUUACUGACCCCACAAUUUGUAGCUCAUGGGCAGACUAGGCCCGUGUGGCAAUUCGUUUGUGAUGAUCAAACACAAAUUUGUUAAGGAAAAUGAACUUAAAAUUGAAGGAUCAGCUUAUACAAAUUACAACAAAAUGAAACAAAACGAUUUCCAUUCAUUUCACACAUCAAAGUCUGUUUACAGGUGUUGGGAGCACUACUGCACAGGUGGCUUCAGAUGGAGCUGCAUGAAAUCUGAAAAAUCGCCUCAAGUGAUGUCAUUUGAGUCAGCGUCGGUUGGUGCUGGAGACUCCAGGUGUGAGAAAAAAGCAACCUGGGAAGCGUGAGUUUAGCAGACCUCUCAACUCUGCCUGAAGCUACAAGCAGCGGCUACAAAGUUACAUUAGCCGCCACUAGCAUGACACACCUGAAUCUCAUGCUGCAUAUUAUUUACCUCAGAAGUCAGAACUGGGAAUGAUGUCACACCCAAGUUGAUCACAUUCCAGUACAAGUCGGAAAACCAAGAUGUUGUUUGCAGUAUCAGUUCCAUCCAGGUUAGCCAUUACUACCAAAACUGGAUGAUAAAAACGUAUUACGCUGAAUUUUGCCCCUACAGACACCGUAGCUACAUGUCAGUGGAUAAAGUAGGACAGUCUUGUAUAUACAACUGUUUUGAUGAGACACAAGUGAAGCAGAAGUGCUAAUAAACAGCAUAUUACCACAGCUUUCACUACUGUUGAUGCACCGGCCAUCUUGGAUUUUGAGAUCAGGGCUGGUGAGGUCCCUCCGACUUUCCUAUAAAUGUGUAAAGAGAACUGGACACAGCACUCAAUUCAAUGAAAGUUGCUCGGUGGUGCAUGAAACCAAAAACAUACAACUGCCAUGUAUAAAUUACCCAGAUGAUCGGCACUGCUUCUGCAUCAGUCGGCCCUUAGAGCAAGCGCACGAGAAACUUCUGCCUGCCACGACGGCUACUUCCUGUUCAGUGCUCUGCUAACUUCAAUGGGGAUAAAUGAUUUAAAUGUGCAGCUCUUCUAGACUCUAGGCUUUGCAGGGGUUGUGACACUCAAAAAAAUGUGUCCUCUGAUUUUCUCUGUCUCUUUCGCAAUGCUAAGUCUAUGUUAAAAAGUCUCUUUGGGCACAAUGGCAUCAUGAGAUGGACUCGAAAGUUGUAACUCCACUGUUUGGUCACUACAAAGAUUGUCGUCAAAGCCCGGCGCACUUCCUUAGGGCAGAUAUCCAACUUUAGGGGGGGUUCCAGUUGAAAUUUCCGACCGGGAACUCUGACACUCCGGCUUCCAAGUGCAAGUGGAACACACCAUCAGAGCAAUCUGUUGGUGGUCAAGUUGCAUUGUGGGAAAUGUAGGAGCCAUAUUUUGACAAGAAAGAAGAAUGCAUUUUUUAAAAACUGUGAGUCUGGCAAUGUUACAGGGCAAUUUCAAAUUGGUGGAAUACUCUUACUACAAUUACUACAAACAAAUGCACACAGGAAAUCUGGGGGCCUUCAGAGGCGACUGAUUAAGCUUUGGUGAGAGGACGCCCAGUAAAGAAGCCACGUGAGACCUCAAGUAUAGCAUGUAGUACCUCGGAUGUGACUGAGUGAUUAUGAGCGACUUUGAUAGUGAAAUGUGUGUGUGUGUGUGUGUGUGUGUGUGUGUGUGUGUCAGCCUGUUUGCAUGGCCUUGUCAUGCUGCCCUUGCUUGGUAGGAUAACUAUCAACGGUCUUGGACCCUUAUGUUUGCUGUGCCUGUUCAAAAACUUUUAACCUCACCCACGUUUACCUGAUAUAAACCGGCUACCUCAAACAGAUCAAGACACAAUAAACCAACACUGCUUGAGAGAGCGAAGGCUGGAUAUUUUCUAUGUACUGCGAGAGUGUUUUGACAUGGCCUUAAACUGUGAGAUAUCCAGAUCUUGCAUUGAAUUUAUUAACGGCGUUCUGUCUCCUACUGAGGAAAUCAAAGACAAAAACAAUGCUAGCAAGUGGAAAGGUGGCUCUUGCAGUAAAUUUGAGUUGCCCGCAGCCUGACCACAGCAAUGGCAUGAUAUUGAAGAGAAUGAUUAAAUAUAGCAUCAUUAUUAUUAUUUAUUCAGAAUGUAUAAUGCCUUGACAUCUCUCCUGUAAGUGAG
RNA transcript from Epinephelus moara (kelp grouper), 5517 nucleotides. It is a transcript of the gene named layilin a, with no coding region annotated. Lineage: Eukaryota; Metazoa; Chordata; Actinopteri; Perciformes; Serranidae. The transcript is spliced from 9 exons. The record is from RefSeq and is a predicted model, not a curated record.